Molecule: microRNA, 23 nt
Filed under: Eisenia fetida (common brandling worm)
Lineage: Eukaryota; Metazoa; Annelida; Clitellata; Crassiclitellata; Lumbricidae
Description: Efe-Mir-2-P12f_3p (mature (guide))
Source: RNAcentral
UAUCACAGCCAGCUUGGAUCAGG